Molecule: non-coding RNA, 106 nt
Organism: Glycine max (soybean)
Lineage: Eukaryota; Viridiplantae; Streptophyta; Magnoliopsida; Fabales; Fabaceae
Source: Rfam
UUCCAAAGGAACGUUGACCGCCAUAUGUCACGUUCUAAUUGGACAACGAAAAUAUAUUGUUGUUGUCAGUGUCCAAUCAGAACGUGAUACGUGGUAGUCAAUGUUC